GUGUGUGUGUGUGUGUGUAUGUUUGGUCUAAGAUCAAGUGUAAGUAGUCUCUUGGCCUAUCCAAGGCCGUGAUCAAAUGUCUUGAUGUUUUUGGUCUUUUGG
This is a long non-coding RNA of Dermochelys coriacea (leatherback sea turtle), 102 nucleotides long. RefSeq lists it as uncharacterized. The record is from RefSeq and is a predicted model, not a curated record. The transcript is spliced from 3 exons. Lineage: Eukaryota; Metazoa; Chordata; Testudines; Dermochelyidae.